AACGAACGCUGGCGGCAUGCCUAACACAUGCAAGUCGAACGAGACCUUCGGGUCUAGUGGCGCACGGGUGCGUAACGCGUGGGAACCUGCCCUUAGGUUCGGAAUAACUCCCCGAAAGGGGUGCUAAUACCGGAUAAUGUCUUCGGACCAAAGAUUUAUCGCCUUUGGAUGGGCCCGCGUUGGAUUAGCUCGUUGGUAGGGUAAAAGCCUACCAAGGCGACGAUCCAUAGCUGGUCUGAGAGGAUGAUCAGCCACACUGGGACUGAGACACGGCCCAGACUCCUACGGGAGGCAGCAGUGGGGAAUAUUGGACAAUGGGCGAAAGCCUGAUCCAGCAAUGCCGCGUGAGUGAUGAAGGCAUUAGGGUUGUAAAGAUCUUUUACCCGGGAUGAUAAUGACAGUACCGGGAGAAUAAGCUCCGGCUAACUCCGUG
This 433-nucleotide ribosomal RNA is filed under the name uncultured bacterium. Its description in RNAcentral is "partial 16S ribosomal RNA". It matches the Rfam family "Bacterial small subunit ribosomal RNA", at positions 29 to 507 of the family's 1533-position model. The record is from RNAcentral.